ACUCUGGGAAGGCAACCUAGGAAGGGUGGGGCCCUGGGGCCUUUUGAGGAGCUAAGUGGCCAAGGAGAGGUGCGUUUAGUUAUCUCAGAAGUCCGUUGCCCUCGUGGUGUCCAUUCUGUAACUGUUCUCACAAGACAAGACAGCCUGAGUUGUUUACAGCCAGCAACUCUUCCUGUCUGAGAGCGGUGUCUCCCGUUGGGUUUCCCUAGUGCCUCACCUUGGUCCAGAUGGCCGAAGGGGACCGUUUCCUGUGGCCUCUUCGCACUGUUCUAGGUGUUAACGAUCCCCCCCGCCCCGCCCCUACUGACUUCCUCAUCCUAGCCUUUUACUUCUUUUCUGCCUGGCCUCUGAUUUUACAAUAUACUAUGGGGAGAAAUGUCUCUGAAGUUUUACUUCAGCCUGAAAUGUAUAAGACAAGCCCUCAAGAGUUUCCAAAAUCAUAAAUACGUUGCUUUGUGAGUCUCUUGUUGGAAGGACUGUCUUUAAAUUAAAGCAAUUAGAGUUACUUUAUAAGAUUUACCCAAAUAUAAGAGCUGAAGAGAAUAAUUCAAAUUGAUCAGAAGAAAAUACUCAAUUACUGACAAAUGUCAAUUACAUCAAUAGGAGGAGAAAAUGUGUAAUUGUAAGCAGCUGAACUAAAAUAUCUCUGUGACAUUUUGCUGGUGACUCCAGCCCUGUGAGAUCUGAGUGGCUCAGGAAUCAAAUUCUCCCACAAACCUGAGGAAGCCUUUUAUUCUUAAUGCCAACAGGAUGCCCCAUGCCCAGAAUGUCAAAUCUGAACACCAAUGGAAUGCAUUUUAUAAACAAAUUGAAAAAGGACAAUCUUUAACAGAAUUGUUGUUCUCUAGGCAGAUUAGUUGUGCUUCAAAUACAAAAUGAAAUAUUAGAGAACAAAAUUAUUUUUAAACAGCUAAUACUAGUAGAAAAUAAAAGGCUGAAAAGUGC
This 945-nucleotide long non-coding RNA is filed under the name Homo sapiens (human). RNAcentral's name for it is "long independently transcribed non-coding RNA 2436, transcript variant 10 (LINC02436)". The record is from RNAcentral. Lineage: Eukaryota; Metazoa; Chordata; Mammalia; Primates; Hominidae.